Unclassified non-coding RNA from Chlorocebus sabaeus (green monkey), 310 nucleotides. Its record names the gene 7SK. It matches the Rfam family "7SK RNA". Rfam says of the family: 7SK was discovered as an abundant small nuclear RNA in the mid-70s but a possible function has only recently been suggested. The record is from Ensembl. Lineage: Eukaryota; Metazoa; Chordata; Mammalia; Primates; Cercopithecidae.
GAAUACCCAGCUUGAUAAGGCUCCUAUGACAUCUAUCACCCCAUUGAUCGCCAGGGUUGAUUCAGCUGAUCUGGCUGGAUAGGCAGGUGUCCCCUUCCUCUCUCAUUGCUCCAUGUGUGUCCCUCCUAAAGCUGCAUGCUAGGUCAAAGCUGCAUGCUAGGUCAAAGAGGACGACCAGCCCUGAUAGAGAAGGACUGGUCUUCAGUCAAGGGUAUACAAGUAGCUGUGCUCCAUGGCUAGAACCUCCAAACAAGCUCUCAAGUUCCAGAAGGAAGUGAAAGAAAAAGGAAACCAAGAAUGUGGAUAGAGU